UAAAAGAAAGAAAGAAUGAAGAAGGCAGAAGAGGGAGGAGGAGCCGCCACCAGCAUUCCCCAACAGCAACUCCAAGCGACACCACGCAGUCGUCCACACGGCGGCGAGGGAGGAGCGGCACGUGCGAGAGGGAGGAGCAGCGGACACUUGGUUAAUGUCAUGAUGGGUGGAUGGUCCCUGCUCCUCGGCUCCUUGGCUAUACUAACAGGGACCCUAGCCGAGGACUCAAAAUGGGGGGGCCUUUACCCUCGGGAGUCGGGCAGUCGAGAGGUAAAAUCGCUGGACGGCCUCUGGAACUUCCGCCUGGCACCUCUCCAUGACCCCCUGAAGGGUUUUCGAGAGGAAUGGUUUUUAAGACCUCUCAGUAAGACUGGCUCGGUGAUAUCAAUGGCAGUUCCCAGUAGCUACAAUGACGUAACGCAAGACAAAGCUCUGCGAGACCAUAUUGGAUGGGCAUGGUACGAUCGCACUUUUUAUGUGCCCUUAAGAUGGCAAGUUGACAAGCAGAGGGUUGUUCUUCGUCUUGGGUCUGCCCAUUAUAAUUCAAUCAUUUACAUCAAUGGCGUAGCUGUGACGUCUCACGAAGGAGGACACCUUCCGAUAAUGGCCGAGAUAUCGAGUGGCCUUCGCUUCGGGAAGGAGAACCUGGUUACCGUAGCCAUCAACAACACUUUAACGCCCAGUACUUUGCCUCAGGGGAAGAUCAUCUACCACAACGACCCUACGAAGUAUCCUCCAGGCUACUUUGAGCAGAAAUUAGACUUUGACUUUUUCAACUAUGCAGGUCUUCAUCGGCCUGUUUACCUUUACACAACACCACAAACAUACAUUGAUGAUAUAGUGAUUAACACUGAUAUUGAUGGGUCUGCAGGUAUCAUUAAUUACGAGAUAUUUGCGGCCACCACUGAGAUUGGCCCUCAAAGCGAAGAUGGUGUGGGCUGUUCUGUUAAGCUCCUGGAUAAGGAGGGAGAUCACAUCACUAGUGCCAUGGGGUGUGUUGGCACUAUUAAGAUCAGCAAUGCCAGUCUUUGGUGGCCGUAUCUAAUGCAUAGUAACCCUGGCUAUAUGUAUACAUUGAUGGUAGCAGUUUCAGAUGCAUUUGGUGUGCUGGACCUCUAUCCCCAGAAAGUUGGCAUUCGCACUCUUGGAUGGAACUCCACAACGCUGACCAUCAACAAUCAGCCUCUAUAUUUGCGUGGCUGUGGACGGCAUGAAGAUGCUGAUAUCCGGGGCAAAGGUGUCGACUACCCACUGAUUGUGAAGGACUUCAGCCUCCUCAAGUGGCUGGGUGCAAACAGCUUCCGUACGUCUCACUACCCCUAUGCGGAGGAGAUCAUGGACAUGGCAGAUCAGGAGGGAAUCAUGAUAGUGGAUGAGAGUCCUGCAAUCGGUCUCAAUGGUUUUGGCGAGGAGCUGAUGAAGCGCCACAUUGCAGUCAUGCAGGAAUUUGUCCGCCGUGACAAGAAUCGACCGAGUGUCAUCAUGUGGAGUGUCGGCAAUGAGCCAAGAUCUUAUGAGCCUGCUGCAAAGGAGUAUUUCAGUGCUGUGGUUAAUGCUACUAAAGAAGCUGACCCAACACGCUCUGUCACUUGUGUCCUGGCAGUUGACAAACACACAGAUUUAGCUCAAUGUUGUGAAUGCCACCAAAGCAGUUGAUGCUACCCGUCCAGUUACAUGUGUUCUCAAUUAUCCUAAAAACGAGGAACAUGCUGGAAGCAGCCUAGAUGUAAUUUUGGUAAAUCGCUACUAUUCCUGGUACAGUGACACAGGGCACCUAGAGCUGAUUUAUAAUCAGACUGUGAAUGAGUUCAUUGAGUGGCAUCUCCUCCACAACAAGCCCGUUAUGAUCUCAG
RNAcentral lists this unclassified non-coding RNA (1853 nucleotides) under Penaeus monodon (black tiger shrimp). RNAcentral's name for it is "beta-glucuronidase-like, transcript variant X6". The record is from RNAcentral. Lineage: Eukaryota; Metazoa; Arthropoda; Malacostraca; Decapoda; Penaeidae.